RNAcentral lists this transfer RNA (62 nucleotides) under Eusyllis blomstrandi. RNAcentral describes it as "tRNA-Ile". Lineage: Eukaryota; Metazoa; Annelida; Polychaeta; Phyllodocida; Syllidae. The record is from RNAcentral.
AAUAUUAUGCCGGAUAAACGGAUUACAUUGAUGUUGUAAAUUAUGGUCACUACCUAAUAUUU